GACGAACGCUGGCGGCGUGCUUAACACAUGCAAGUCGAACGGAAAGGCCCUGCUUUUGUGGCUUGCUCGAUUGGCGAACAGGUGAGUAACACGUGAGUAACAUGCACUUGACUUUGGGAUAAAUUCACGAAACUCGGGCUAAUACCGGAUAUGAGCUCCUGCUGCAUGGUGUGGGUUGGAAAGAUUCGGCGGUGGGGGAUGGCCUCGCGGCUUAUCAGCCUGUUGGUGGGGUAGUGGCUUACCAAGGGUAUGACGGGUAGCCGGCCUGAGAGGUUGACCGGGCACCAUGGGACUGAGAUACGGCCCAGACGCCUAUGUGAGGCAGCAGUCGGGAAUAUGGCACAAUGGGCGGGAGCCUGAUGCGGCAACGCCGCGUGCGUGAUGACGUCCUUCUGGUGGUAAACCGCUUUCUCCUGUGCCGAAGCGUGCUUGACGGUAAUGGGUAAAGAAGCACCGGCUAACUACGUG
This 468-nucleotide ribosomal RNA is filed under the name uncultured bacterium. RNAcentral's name for it is "partial 16S ribosomal RNA". It matches the Rfam family "Bacterial small subunit ribosomal RNA", at positions 28 to 507 of the family's 1533-position model. The record is from RNAcentral.